RNAcentral lists this ribosomal RNA (867 nucleotides) under Globonectria cochensis. RNAcentral's name for it is "partial large subunit ribosomal RNA". Lineage: Eukaryota; Fungi; Ascomycota; Sordariomycetes; Hypocreales; Bionectriaceae. The record is from RNAcentral.
ACCCGCUGAACUUAAGCAUAUCAAUAAGCGGAGGAAAAGAAACCAACAGGGAUUGCCCYAGUAACGGCGAGUGAAGCGGCAACAGCUCAAAUUUGAAAUCUGGCCCYCGGSUCCGARUUGUAAUUUGUAGAGGAUGYUUYUGGCGASGUGYCUUCCGAGUUCCCUGGAACGGGACGCCAWAGAGGGUGAGAGCCCCGUCYGGUYGKACGCCKAGCCUCUGURAARCUCCUUCGACGAGUCGAGUAGUUUGGGAAUGCUGCUCUAAAUGGGAGGUAUAYGUCUUCUAAAGCUAAAUACYGGCCAGAGACCGAUAGCGCACAAGUAGAGUGAUCGAAAGAUGAAAAGCACUUUGAAAAGAGGGUUAAAYAGUACGUGAAAUUGYUGAAAGGGAAGCGCUYRYGACCAGACUUGGGCYYGGYSAAUCAUCCGGCGUUCUCGCCGGUGCACUUKGCCGGCCCAGGCCAGCAUCAGUUYGNCKCGGGGGACAAAGGCUUCGGGAAYGUGGCUCCYYCGGGAGUGUUAUAGCCCGUUGCGYAAUACCCYGGGCCGGACUGAGGUUCGCGCAUUCGCAAGGAUGCUGGCGUAAUGGUCAUCAGCGACCCGUCUUGAAACACGGACCAAGGAGUCGUCCUCGUAUGCGAGUGUUCGGGUGUCAAACCCCUACGCGCAAUGAAAGUGAACGNAGGUGAGAGCUUCGGCGCAUCAUCGACCGAUCCUGAUGUUCUCGGAUGGAUUUGAGUAGGAGCAUACGGGGCCGGACCCGAAAGAAGGUGAACUAUGCCUGUAUAGGGUGAAGCCAGAGGAAACUCUGGUGGAGGCUCGCAGCGGUUCUGACGUGCAAAUCGAUCGUCAAAUAUGGCAUGGGGG